UACGUAGGGAGCGAGCGUUGUCCGGAAUUACUGGGUGUAAAGGGAGCGCAGGCGGGAUUGCAAGUCAGGUGUGAAAUACGUGGGCUCAACCCACGGGCUGCACUUGAAACUGUAGUUCUUGAGUGAAGUAGAGGUAAGCGGAAUUCCUAGUGUAGCGGUGAAAUGCGUAGAUAUUAGGAGGAACAUCGGUGGCGAAGGCGGCUUACUGGGCUUUUACUGACGCUGAGGCUCGAAAGCGUGGGGAGCAAAC
RNAcentral lists this ribosomal RNA (250 nucleotides) under uncultured prokaryote. RNAcentral describes it as "partial 16S ribosomal RNA". It matches the Rfam family "Bacterial small subunit ribosomal RNA", at positions 524 to 773 of the family's 1533-position model. The record is from RNAcentral.